GCCUUCGUGGUGUAAUGGUGAACACACUCGGUGUGUAUUCGAGAGGUCCGAGGUUCGAGCCCCUGCGAGGGCA
This 73-nucleotide transfer RNA is filed under the name Stegodyphus mimosarum. It matches the Rfam family "tRNA". From Rfam's summary of the family: Transfer RNA (tRNA) molecules are approximately 80 nucleotides in length. Their secondary structure includes four short double-helical elements and three loops (D, anti-codon, and T loops). Lineage: Eukaryota; Metazoa; Arthropoda; Arachnida; Araneae; Eresidae. The record is from Rfam by way of RNAcentral.